AGAUCGAGGCAGAUGCAUAACUGACUGAGCCACGCAGGCACCCCCGUUUGCUAGACUUUGCACAAAUCCACACUCUAAAGGUAUCACAAAAAUCCGUGCUAUUAGAAAGAUUGCAGGUCAUUAUGGGUUUGGGGAUGCAGGGAUAAUCUCACUACAUACCUUCCCAACCCUGAACUCAUGUGGUUAAUACUUUCUUUUUGCUUUGUUUCCUCUUCAAAAUAAAGCAUGGGAGUUCAAUUCGGUCAAUAAAUACUUAUUUGAUGUUAAUCUGAGCCAGAUCCUGCUUGGCACUGGGAAUAGCACAGUGAAUCAGGAAGCUCCCUCAGUUGCCUGCGGUCUGCGCUGGAGGUAGGGAUGGGGGCAGUUUGCACACGGGCCAGGCAGCGGCAGUGAAGGAAGUGGCUUUGGUGGUUCCACGUGACCGGAGCCAAGGGUGUGAUGGGAAAAGUGCCGAGAGACGGCCCUGGGGUGUGAGGCGGGUGGGCUGUGCCAAGCCAGGAAGGUUGAACCUUAUUCUGAAGGCAGUGGAGAGCCAUUUAAGGAUUUUAAGCGGGGGUGUGACAUCUCAUUUGCAUUUUGGGGAGCUUUGGGUACAUUGUUGAGAAUAGACUGAAGUGCCGGCCAGAAGCAGGGAUAACGGGGCCUGGCAGCAACCUGGGCUGGAAACAAUGUCCCUAGAGUGAUGGCAGUGGACCUGGCCAGAAGAACAGUAGAUAGCACUUACUGAGCGUUUAGUGGGUGCUGACUGGGCAUUUACUAGUCCCAUCGGGUAUUUAAGGCUUAGAGGAAGUAAGUAACCUGUCUGAGGGAAUGAACCUAACUGACAGAAUCGAGUCAGUGGUUAAAACUAUCGUGUCUGAGACAAAAGCCCAAAAGAAGAAGUGUGGGGAGUUGACGGAAACCCAGGCGGAAGGGAUGAAGGGACGCACUUCCUGAAUGAAUGCCUGGGGCUGUGAGGGGAAAAAGGGAGGAGUCAGGGAUGGCUUGGGCAGUUGGUGGAUGGCGGUGCCACCCACGGAGGUCAAGAAUAUGGUAAAAGGGGAGGUUUGUGGUGGUGGUGAGGUAGGAAAAAGUGAUGAGUUUUGGACGUGUUGACUUUGUGCGUAUGAGAGAUCCAAAGGGAAAUGGAGACACCUGGGCUGUAAAUACUAAGCACCUGUCACUUAUCUUGUACUUUGUAGGUCCCGGGGACGCUGUGCUGAAACUGAGGAACGUGGUCCUUGCUCUCGUGGCUUCGGGAAACGGGCUAGGCAACACGUAGGGUUAGUGUCGCGCGUGGUCUGUUGGGGGCACACGUGCUGCUGUGGGAAAUACAGAAGAGGGGCCUGAUCUAGUCAAGAGUUCAGGAACAGCCUCCUUGAAGAGAAGCCGAGAGCUCAGGGAAGGACGGGGGUUGGGAGAUGGGGGAGCAUCGAGGUAAGAGCAAACAGGCAAGGGCCUUGGAGCUCAUGGUAUCUGGCAGACUGGAAAGUUUAGUGUGGUUGAAAGCAGGGAAGGAGAGCGCAGUCCCGUGGGGGAGGCAGUUGGUGGAAGGGUUUGAAGAGAAUGGAGGAAGUCCGAAGCAGGAAGUCCGGGGAAGAGGAGAGAACAGACUAGCGAAACUUGCUAGGUAAUUGCCUGACGCUAGCGGGUCUCUGGACCAGGGCUCCUCAGCCUUAGCACGAUGGACAUUUGGAACUGGGAGAUUUUCUGUUGUGGGGACCGGUGUCCUGGGCAUUGUAGCAUCCCUGGCCUCUAUUCACUAGAUGCCAGUAGUGCCCCUUCCCCAAGAAAAACUGUCCACAGGCACUGCCACAUGUCGCUUGAGGAGAGAAUUACCUCUGGCUGAGAGCCAGUAAGCCCAGCCGCUGAGCGCUUCAGGAGAAAAAUCAUACAACUUGCAGAUUGCUGUUACGACGCAUUCAUGUCCCCAGCCUGGGCUCUUAGUUCUCCCUGGUUCUCCCGUUCCCCUAACAGUUGAAGUGAUGUUUCUACCCUCGAAGAUAGGAAGGAGAAAGUGAAGGCAAGUUAUUAUUUGACUUCUCUAAGUCUCAGCUUCGUCACGGGAUAAUAGAUGUUAAGUUAGCACCUAUGAAGUGUUCAAUAAAUGUUAUCUAUCAUCAUUAUUUCUGGGAGGGGCUGAUAGGAAAUGGACAGGCUGAACGAAGUUGAAAGAUGGUAUGGUAGGAGUGGACUGAGAGCAGGAACGACAGGCCGCUGUGUUCCGAGAUAGACUGAUGUUCUUUUUUAUUUUUUAAGGUUUAUUUUUGAGAGAGAGAGCGUGAGCAGGGGAGAAGCAGAGAGAAAAGAAGGCAUAGAAUCGGAAGCAGGCUCCAGACUCCGAGCUGUCAGCACAGAGCCUAAUGCAGGGCUCAAAUUCACAAACCGUGAGAUCAUGACCUGAGCUGAAGUCGGACACUUAACCUACCGAGCCACCCAGGCACCCCUAGACCGAUGUUCUAAUCACGACUUCCAAGAUUGUGAUAGAUGGUGUCAUCAAAUCAUCUGCCGCUUCUCUCCACCACGCUCCAGAGAGGGUGGGUAGUGCUCUGUGCCCUGGUGGCACCAGGCCUGUCCAUGAAAUGUCAGCGGGAAUGAAGUGUACUGCUUCUGAGCAGAGGUUCGGGGGACAUUGCGAGGGUCAGUCAGGGCUUCUUCCCUCAGCAUGAGGCUAGUGCACCCCAGAAUGAAGGCUGCCCUGUAGUCUGGCUCCAAGAUCGACGAGAACAGGGAGCAGAGCUGCGGCUGUCCUGCAGUGGGCAGAGAAACAAGACUUGGGGGGUGUGCUACUGACUUAGUCUGAGCGGACUGGCACAAAGGUGGACAAUCCCAGGUGAGGGUAGGUCCCAGGUGUGGCAUGGAGUGAGCAGUUCAAGCAUCAUGGAAGAGGAGUUUUUUGAUGUUGGUCAAUGAGGAAGGGUCCUGUGAGGCUGGGGGUGUUGGAUGGGUCAUUCCUGUGGCGUCGAUAUCACCCAGGAUGUUGGCAGGAUUGUGGGAACCCAAAAUCGAUAAUGAGUGAGCAAAAUAUCUGGAAAGUAAGCAGAUGGCACUAUAAAGGAGGUCUAAGUCUCAAAAGAGCAGAGAUUUCUGUGUGGAGGGAUAGUAGUCUGGAUGCGGUCAGGGAGGCCCGUCUCCUCUACUGAAGGUGCGUGAGGUUUGGAGAAAUGACUGCCAAGGUUCCUUGGGGGAAAGCCAGGUAUCUGUCAAUCAUCUAUUUAUUUUUGAGAUAGUGUGAGCAGGGGAGGGGCAGAGAGAGAGGGAGACACAGAAUCUGAAGCAGGCUCCAGGCUCUGAGCUGUCAGCAUAGAGCCUGAUGAGGGGCUCGAACUCACGAACCAUGAGAUCAUGAGCCGAAGUCAGACACUUAACCGACUGAGCCACCCAGGUAUCCUUUAAGCCUUAAAGAAACAGAUGAAAGCAAAAGAGUAUAUGGAUGCAGGCAGGGGGAUGUUUACCAUGAAACAGUUCAUAGAGUCGUAGUUCGUAACUUGCUUGGGGUCAAGGGGUGGGUGCUCUGGAUCGCCUCUUGAGAGAAAGGAUAUACACGCGUGUAAAAUCUUACGUGCAAACCCAGGAGGAUUUGACUACAGUUUAAACUAUAACUAACGAAUGCAUUUGGUCUGGGUAACCCCAUCUUGCCUCCUCGCACUCUGGGACUCUUCCCUUCAUCGUUAACCUUUAAAAGAGUCACUGGUGGGAAAUAAACCAUGCAUUCGAAUCAAGUUAAAGAAAUGUGAGACUUCCUGGGCCCUAAAUUGGGAAAUUUUAACUCAAAAACUCCAGCUUUAUACUGCUCAAAAGUGGGUAAAGCUGUUACCUAAAUAUGGGAUGCAUUUUGGCAAAAAUUACAUCCACUUUCUUCUCUCUCUCUCUCUCUCUGUGUGUGUGUGUGUGUGUGUGUGUGUGUGUGUGUGUGUGUGUGUGUGUUUGAAACACUUGUAACCAUCGGGAUUUCUGGAAUCCUUGGCACUGAAUCAGAAUUGCCAGUUAGCUACUUGCUGGGUGACCUUCGGCAGUUCACUUAAUGUCUCUAAGCCUCAGCUCACUGAUCUGGAAAACAGAGCUGAUGGACAAAUGAGCUAAUGCACGUGAGGUGCUUAGCACCUGAGACUUCCUUCCACUUGCUUGCAUCAGAGCUGGGGAGGCGGCUUCCUCAAAUAGGAGCCUCAAAUCUCCGGCUUCUAACCAACAGACAUAACCUGUACUGUCCACCAGAGGGCACCAGUAACUUGUAAAUCUAAGAGGAAUGUUCCUUUGCCCUUAAUUGAAUCUGCCUGAGGAUAACCCCUUAGGUUCAAGUCUUUAUUUAAAUAUUCUUGCUCUUGGUGCCUGAAGGAAUCAUUUGCAAGAUUCCUCAAAAUGCAGAAGGGAAAUCUGAAGUAAGAAGUUUAGGGUAAUUGGUGCUCUCACUCUACAUCAGCCAUCAAGAGAGUUCUAUUAACGUUGUUUUAUUUUGUCCAUUUCUACCAUCCAUUGUCUGUCUCUUCAGACUAUCUGUAACCUAGUUACAAAUUAUUCUCUCAGUAAUAAGUUGUUGCUGGUCCUUUCUUCCUGGUUUGUUCCAAUGAACUGAACUGCUGUUUUUCCCUUUGAUGUGCAGCCUCCCUCCUGUUUCCCCUAGUCAUGGCCAGCCUUCCUUCCAGCAGUGGGGGCUGGGAUCCAGUUCUGAUCCCUUUGCCUUACUGUUGAGCCUCAGAAGCCAUUUCCCUAAAUCCCUUUGAGCUGAGAGUCUAGUGAUGGAUGGGUACUCAUCACAAGAGGCUGUGUUCUGGGGGGAGGGGGGGAAGCCCUUUCUCCAUCUGAGGAGGGGAACAGCUAGGAAAAGUUGAGGCUACCAGCCACCAGAGCCUUCCUCAAAAUGUCAUGGAUUUCAGGGGAGCAGUGAUAUCCAGGGUACCCACUGCUUACUCUUUUUUUUUUUUUCUUUCUCUAAUUUGAGAGAGAGGGAGAGAGAGCAGGGGAGAAGGGCAGAGGGAGAGAGAAUCUUAAGCAGGCUCCACACUGUGUGGAGCCCCGACACGGGGCUCGGUCCCGUGACCCAGGGAUCAUGACUUGAGCUGAAAUCAAGUCGGACGCUUUCUCGACUGAGCCACCCAGGCGCCCCUGACCAUCCCCUUGUCUAGAUGGGUUGUCAUGGCUGACGUUUGCCGUGUGCUUCGUAUUGUGUCAUCUAUCCGUUUGGUUUUAUGUCAUGUGACCUCCACAACAACCCUGUGAGAGAAGUGUGGUGUUGGGCGAGUGGAGUGGACUACCCCCGCACAGAAGCACAGAGAAGCUAAAUGAAGAACAGGGAAGACUUCACCAGGGUUCCAUUUCAGUCAGCAUUGGAAGCAUUCCACAAGGCCAAGUUUUGUUCUGUUCUGUUUUGUUUUGUUUUAUGGAUUGUCCCUUGCAUAGCAGGAUAUUUAACAUCUCUGGCCCCCAAGCCCUGUCGUUAAGGUACUAAUUAUACCUUCCAGAAACCCCAGAAGGUACAGUACAGGUAGGUGGUCCUGCCACCUGUUAGAACCACUGACUUAUAUGCAUGGUCACAGGAAAAAGGAGGGUUACACAAAUUGCUUUGCUCCUCUGGUUAUUUUUAUGUUAAUGAAGGUCACUAGAUGAAGAUAACAGAACAAAAGGAAGGAGAUCCCUGGGGGUGAGCAGAACUCUGUAAGGGAAGAGGCUAUAUAUAAAGGAAGGGAAUGAGCGCUAGACCAAGGCGAUCUUCCUUUCUAAUCGCUGCUAAAACCCGGAGCGUGGACAGAGUCUGGCCUCUCAAACUCAUACCUUUAGAGACCAAUCGGUUGUCGCAGACCAGGAUGGCAGCCGGGUCAGGGGACAGAAGGGAGUGUUGGGGCUGGAGCCGUCUGGACAGCCGGGCCUACACAAAGGGUGUUUUCAUGUGGUAGCGUGGGCUCAUUGUUGCCAGCCUUUCUAAUAUUUCCAGAGAAUCCACCAGGCCAGAUUUUUAAAGGAAAUCUCUCUAUUGUAGAUAUGGGAUGUAAAAGCAGUUCUAACAUUCGUUUGGCCGAUGGAUGGCUGAGUCGGUUGAGCAUCUGACUCUUGAUUUCAGCUCAGGUCAUGAUCUCAGGUGAGACUGAGCCCUGCGUCCUGCUCUGUGCUGCUGUGGAGCCUUCUUGGGAAUCUCUCGCUCUCAAUAAAUAAAUAAAUACAUACACAUUAAAAAAAGAAAAAAAACAUUAGGUAGGCCAAGAAAAAAAAAAUGCCUGCAAGUGAAUUUGGAUCGUCUUGACUUGUGAGUCAGGUCGUCUUUGAGAGGCCAUUCCCAUCAAAGGUGCCACAGUGUAUGUCCACCGUGCUGGUGACAGAAGAGAUACAGGUUUCAGCAUACACAAAAAAGAAUUUCCUCCCCAUCCCAGCUGCAGACAGCCGCAGGGCAGGCUGGGCAGAGGACGAGCGGGCAUUCCUAGGGGCAGUGGGACCCCCAGAAGCUGAAGCAAGGAUUCCUGUGCCAUCUUUGGUCCUUUCUGGAUCUGAGAUUCUGGGAUCCUGGGGUUGUGAUUCCUCGAAGGCAGAGCUGGGAACAUGGAAACUCUAGAGCUUGGCCAGUGCCUGGAGUGCGACCAGCUCAGGCCCUGUCCUUCCCCCUGAUGUAUAGGAAUGGGGAAGAGCUGUCCCUGGAGUCCCUGCUCCCUAGAGGCCCUUUGUCUCGGUUCUCAGUACCUGAAGUUUACACAUGCAAGCUGCUCUUACUGUCUCGCAGCCAGUGGGUCCCUGACACCAACUGCAGAGCUAAACAGCCAAUUUUCCAGCCCAGCUGUUCUGCUACACUGACUUUAAGCUUAAAUGCACUUUUCUUUAAAACCCAUCAGGAGCUGUCUCCUUCCCUCUGCUCAUUUUCUUGGCGUUAAUCCAGCAGAAAGCAGGUACUCAGGAUAGCAGUACUUAACGCUUAGAAUGCUGGGGCCCGUAGGUCCUCCAUCGGACUCCACCCACCUUCCCCUUUAGGGCCACGAUAGGACGUCCAUCUGGUUUGUAAUGGAGCUCCCAGUUGCCGGUGCCUGUGCCCUCCAUGCUCUCUGGGAAGGGGUCUUGCUCUCUGGUUGGGCAGCCUGUGCCUUUAAAAGCAGUGCCUUUGCUGGUUUCUGACUUGCAGCAGUGGGAUAGUCAAAUGUGGGGGAGGAAGCAGGGUUCUGGCAACCAAACUCCUGAUGUGGAGGAGUUGAAAAGCCAGGCUGCAAAUGUUACUAUCUAACAUGCUGGGAAGUCUCUGUUCCCAUUCUUCAGAUCUAAUCCGUCUUUGGCUUCUCAAGUCCGUAACCCUUCUGCUUCUGGGCUUUGCUUACAUCCCUACAUCCGGCAUUGGGGCAGGCUCUCGGGAAGGGAGGUGGUCCCCAGCCCUGUUCCUUGCCCUUCUGGUCCAUGUGCCAGUAUAGACCAGGUUUUAAUGAACCUCAGAAUCUUCUGUGCCACAGACGGGGAGGACUGUGUAGGUGAAGGCUUUCCACAAGCCAUGGAGCACAAUACAUGGAAUAAUCUGGAGACUCGCCCCAGAGAAGGUCCUGGCUCUCCUGUCUCAGCCUCCCUCUGGCAUCCCCAGGACUCAGUCCACCCUGAUAACUGGGAGAAGUACGCAGGCCUCAGGAGCUGAGGAAGGUCAAACCUGAUCCCUGGCUUCCUGAAGGUUAACCAGUCGGAGCUCCUCCUGUGAGUUGGCCUGGAAGAUUCCAUGGCCUGGGCCAGGUGUGGCAGGGCUUGUGGACGCUGGGAUGGCCCUUGAUGCUAUGGGUCAAGGACGAUGAGUCAGGCCAGUGCAGCAUCUCUGCCAAGCUGGAAUAUAGGAGGCCUGGGCACAUGAAGUCAGGCCUGCUGGAGGACAGCGCUCAUCAGGCCUCGUCACGGCCAUGAGACUGCCCCACAGGGGACGUGGGGGCUCCGAGGAAGAAGGCAGGCCAAGGUGGGACCCCACUCGUUCGAACUGGACUGAGGUUCUCACUUCAAGUCCGGAGGUGCGGGGAGCCCCUUUGUGCUCAGUGACCUAAAAACAAGGUCCGGCCGCGGGCCGGGUGCCCAUUCUCGUGUCCCGGGACGAUGCGUUCUACCACCUUCCAGGCAGGUGCCGCUCACCUGGCCAGAGGCGCUCUUCGCCCACCUCCCCCCUGCUUCCAGGAUGCUGGGGAGGGGAGCGGCUGGAGGCGCCGUCCCUCCCCUGAGCAGGAGAGUGGUAUGCCUGUUUACAUUCGACUACCUCCCACCUUCCUCUGCAGCUAUUUCUGAAGGUGGGAAAACAACCGUGACUUAAAAUGCACAGAGGUUUUGCGUGGGGGUGUGUGUGCACUGACACGUAAAACUCAGAGCAAACAAACACACGUGCGCACACGCACGCACGCCCGCAUACACGUGCAGCGGGAGCCCAGGGAACCUGGCCGCCCAAGCUAGUGACUGGUGGGCAGGAAGAGGGCAGGGGACUCUGUGGUGUACUAUGUGGGCGGAGGAGGCAGGAACGAGCUGAGUCCCAGGACGGCCCUGUCACCGAACGGGACCUAGGCCGGUGGUCCUGUCACACGUACACAUCCCAGAGGCCCUUGCCUCCUGCCUCGACCCGGCACGAGAGAGAGCAGAGCCCACAGGCGAAGAGAUCCUACUCUGACUUCCCACCUCCUGCCAGAGCACGCUGGCAAAACGGAUCGGCUUCUCAGAGCCUCUGUUCCUUCCGUCUAACAUGAGGUUGCCGUUAGGAUUAAGGGAGCCGAGUGGGGCGCACCCAGAAAGAGCUCAAUAAAUGUCAGUUGCCUCCCGGCUCCGGUCCUCCCCCAGGGCUGGGAGGCUCUCCAGCGGUAGGACUUCUCAGGGGGAACAGAAAGUGCGUCCAGGUCCUCCACGAGCCCCUACUGGGCUUGCCCACCGUGGCCCAGCGUUGCCUCCGGGUGGCAUGGAGGAGCGAGGAACAGAAAUAGAUAACACGUCACGACAUUAACCUCCUUCACUCCGGCAGGGCUGAAAACUGCAAAGUGAUUAGAAGAGCGCAGGACAGUCCUGAAGGGCAGAGAAGCCUGCGGUGAGUGGAGAGGGGUCUCCCGCCAGGCCGGGCCGGGCCUCCCCCUUGGCCUUCAGACGCGAUCUGAGCCGCAGGGGUCUCUCCUCCACCACCUUGGCUCUAACGCCUCCGUUCUGUGGAGGCUCAGCUGCGUGGCGGGGAUGAAGGAACCACUUAAGACUGAAUUCAAAACCUUUUCCUCCACCCCACGCAGCAGCCCCUCUGGCUGGGUGGGUGAGGCAGUGCACCUGCUCCCCCGCCAGGAGCCCAGGGCGGGCGUUCGGCGCCCAGAGGGAGGCGGUGGCUCAAUGACUCACGUUCGGCCGCACCUCUGAUCCCAAGGCUUGGCAAAGGCCCAGACGAGUCCUCCCCCUCGCGUCUGAGCGCACAGCCCCUUCCAGGGAGGUAGGCAGAGCUGCCCACUCACCUGCCAUCGCCGUCUCAGGCUGUCUUGCACCUGCCCACCCGUGCAGGCUGAUUAGCAGUUUCUGCCGGGAGCUGCGGAGAAAGCUAAUUGUCUUCUAUCUGUGAUCUCCGGGGUGAGCAGGAGUUCACACGACUGCGUGGACAUUUUCCCCACCUGGAUUUCGAGCUCCUCGUGGCGGGGGCCAUGCCGCACACGCUUUCUGUGCCCCCACGGCACCAGGCGCAGGGCCGAGCACGCGGAGGGGCCUUGUCGAUGGACGCCAGUGGGGAGCCCCCCCCCCCAUCAAGCCCGCGCGUGGGCAGAGGAGGGAUUUUGUAGUCUCAUCCUGCAAGGGAAGCAACUGAGGCUCCGAUGGGUCACAUGACUCGUCAGGGGUUGCACAAAGGUCCACGUGGCGGGGCUGGGAUUCAAACCUAGGCCUCGGACUCCACAACCUGGGCCACCAGCCCAGCCAAAGCUUGCCGCCUGGCGGAUCCAGGCCGGCCUUACGGGAGCAGAGCACGGGGCUGGCCCCGUGUGCCUUCAGAGAUGACCUGGGUCCUCAGCUCCUCCGCCCCUACAGCCACCUGAUGGGCCCCGCACACACCAUUCCUUGAUUCGGGGCUAGAGCGACCCCCCGCCCCCGACUUGGGGGACAGCAGAGGGAAGACAUUGCUCCUGUGUGAGUGUGGCCGGGCCGGCACCGCAAACGGACAAACAGAGCCAGCGGGCUGCACGUGGACCUCGGCCUGCCCUCUGAUUGGGGGCUGGGGGCUGCCUGCUAGCCUUGGCCUGCAGUGACAGGAGACUGAAAGCUCUGGGGCCACAGUCAGGGAAGCAGGGCCAUCCACUCCAGGGUGGCACUGGUCCCUUACAUUUCCUGUUAAACUCGGGCCCUUGGCAGAGCAACUAAUGAAGACUUUGGGAGAAGCUGUGUCUGCGGCUGCUCCUUCCCUCCUUCUCCGUCGUCCGGCUGCUCCUACAUGACAGGGGGCUCCCCCAGGAGGUCGGUGGACGUGGGCUCUCGCCCCGCCCUCCCCUCUCUCCCCUUCCCUCCGGUGCGGCCUCCACCCAGCCUCCAGAGCUGGAGCCAAGGGUCCGGAAGGAGCAGCGGCGGUGGUGAUCGAUGGCCUGGCCUUCGCUGCUUCAGCGUCAGGUCCCCCUGAGCUGCGGAGACAGAUGGGCAGCGUAAUUGAGUGUAGCGUUGAUAAACUCCGGCCUCCUCACCGGCAGAUAAGCGCGGGGUGGGAGGGGUGCAGAGGGAGGGAGGCCAGCCCUCCAUCUGCGCACCUGGCCUCCUGCUCCUCCUGGGAGGGGAGCCCGGCCCCUCACUCCUACCUCUCAUUUAAUCGCAGACAAAGCAGGACCUCAGAGCCGGAGGCGACCUCCGCGUUUAUCUAGUCUUGCAGAGUCUGAAUUCCAUAAAUAACUUAUGCAAAGGAGGAGCGGUGGAGCGGGAGGCCCGGGCUCUGCCAUCAGAGUUGGAGCCUGGCUCUGCCGCUUGCCGUGUGACCUUGGGCCAGGCAGGCAGCCUUCGGAGCCAGUGCCUGAGCUGGGGAGCGGGGGUGACAGCCUCCUCGCAGGGCCUCGGGGAGGAGUGCGGGAGUCCCGGUGCAGGAAGCGCUGCGUUCCCUUCAUUCGCCCCCCCUCACCCCUGCCUCUCCUUCCAUCUUACCACCUACUUCUCAUCUCUCACCUCUUGUGAUAAAGAAAAAUAUUCUGAAGUGUGACAUAUGUACAGGAGAGUGACUACAUGGCCCUCGUCCGAAGCGCACGGCUCGAUGAGUUUCUCCGUGAGUAGGUACCCAGACGGCCACCACCCGGAACAAGACGUAAAUGUUUCCAGCCCUCCAGAAGGUUCCCGUGUGGCCCUCCCGGUCAGUCAAUAUCCAGCCCCCACCUGGACUUAACCAUUGUCCUGACUUCCGUCACCAUCAAUCAGUUUCAUCUUUUAAACCCAGAAUUCCUCUUCCGUCUCCAUCACAACUCGGGACCGGGGACUCUGGAAACAGUUGACUCUGGCUUUAGGGACCCCCAGAGCUUGACGCUUGAAAUUCCCUCACUUCAUCUUCCUGCCGCAAAGGGGGCUACACUUCUUGGGUUGUCUCGCGGGACCGGCCAUCUCCAGGAAGGCGGGAAGGCUGGUUCCUCUUAAUCCCUCUUUGUUCUUCCACAAUUCCCAUAUCUGGAAAUCGCUCUACACCUCGGGUCCCCCUCUCCGGGGGGGCUCCUCGGGGCUGGGUCUGUGAGUGCCAUGUGCUGAAGGCGGGAAGAGGGCGGGAAUGACCUCCUGGCCCCACGCAGCCCUGUGCCUCUCACCCGACCUCCUUCACCCAAAGCCUUGCUGGGUUUUGGCCACCCCCCAGGGUGGCCCUAUUGCCUCCUUUCCACCCCCAGACUCCUGGGUCUUCUCAUUACGGAGUGUGGGGCACCAGGCAAGAGGACAAACGUGGGCGUGGCCAGGAAGGAGAGGCCCAGACCUGCGGCUAGCUGCCCCCGGACCCCUCCACCUGGCUGCCUCAGAGCCUCUUCGCCUCGACUUGUCCCACACCCCAUGUCUCCCACCAAGCCUGCUUUCGCUCCGGCCGCCCCAUCUCUGUCCUUCGGCACCGCCGCCCAGCAGUCUCCGAGGCUGGACAUCUCUGCCACCUUGACCUGUCCCUCUCCCACCUCCCACACCCGCCACGGUGCCUGCACUUCCUUCCCCCUUUCGUUUCUUGUCUUGGCCCUUAGGAUAGCCUCUCCUGGGGCCGCCUCCUCACCUCCCUCCCAGCAGCCCUCUCCUUCCCGGGCACCCCAUGCUCCCACCAAACAGGACUUGCUAGUUUCUGCCACGCCUCGGACCCGUCCACUCUGUACAGCCCUCCUCCAGCUUCAACCUCAGCCACAGAGGCCCGUCCCAAAUGCUCCCUCCUCUGUGAUACUGUCCACGAUUCCCUCCAAGAAGGGUGGGCUUUCCCACCGCCUCGCAGUCCCGAGACUCUUGGGGCAGACUUCCUCCUCCCCGACAGCACCUUCCUUACUGUCCGUCUGUGAGCCUGUUUUCCAUACGAGGCUGUGAGCUGCUGGAGGAAAGGGUGCUUUCUUAUUGAUCUGCGUGUCCUCGGAGCGUGGCACAGCGCGCACUUUCCCGGUAGGGGCAGGAGAUGGGCUGUGUGAACGGUGAAUGGCAACCCGUCAGUGGGUCAUAAAAACAACUUAAAGUGGGUCACAAUCUGCAUUUCAAAAAAAUGAAAUACAACAGAAAACGCCAGAGCGCAUUGACGGUAGCUAGACCCAGCACCGUUUUGAGAAGUUUUAUGCACACACAUUCACACUUGGGUACAGACAAGAGCAUGAGGCAAAAACCAUGCAGUUUUUGCCCUUGGGUCACAGUGAUCAAAGCUCGAAAACCAUUAUUCUACUGAACAUCUCUCUUUGGUAAGGUGAGUCCCCUCGGCUCUGACGCCACUGGACGGGUGACAUAAAGGAGAGUCUCAGGAGAUAGACGGGACAUUCCCGAGCCCCUUCUCUGUGCCAGGAUUUCUAUUUGCUCCCCACGACCUGAGAGGUGGCUGCUUCACAGACCAGAAGGCUCCGGCUCGGAGCUAGGGGGUCAGACCAAGGGCCCGCAGCUAGAGUGUAGAAAGCCCGGCCUGGAACCCAGGGUGUCAUUCGCCAGCCCUUUCUAUUUCCAUGGCUCUGGUGCCACAAGCCGACAUCUGAGAGUCCGGUGGUGGGGGCCUGGGGAGCAGGGAGGGAAGCGGUAAGGUAUCUCCUGGGGAAAGGAUGAGGGUUCCCUCCUCCACCGCUGCCCUACCUGCCUCUGCGAUGUGAGGAGUCAGCGUUCAGUAAAAUCCCCUCCUUGCCCCGGAGGACAGGGCCUUGUCCCAAGCAGAAGUCCCGGCUGGCCUGGGCAGAGGGUGCUAGAGUUCUGGGGUCCGGAAGGGAGCCUGCCUCCUUCCUUCUUAAUUAGCAGGGGAGGGCGCCAGGAGGUAGGGCACAGCCACCGCUGUCUGGGGGCACUGCACACAGGACAAGUCUGCCCCCGCCCGGCUGCUAGGUCCUGCCGAUCAUCUGCCCACCCGCAGGUAGCCGGCCCGGACCCCUCUCCCCCUGUCCCGGCUCCCAGCCUCCCUCCAUCAUGAGCCGGCUGGUUGUCGGCCUGUCUCUCCCGCCAGGACCGUGAGCCCCUCAGGAGAAGGAACUGUGCUCGAGUCGCCGGUCCCUCCCACGGUCUGGCACACAGUAGGAGCUCAGGAAACAUCUGUGGAAGGACAGCGAGCGGGAGGGCAGGAGGGAAAAGGAAGGCGAGGAAGGGCAGGUGGGGCAGAGCUUGCUUCCCAGCUCCCGGAGACCAGGCAGCUCAGAGUCUGGGCUCAGGCCCUUCUGCCUCCUUUCUUGCUACCCGCAAGGAGACCACACUCGCUCCCAGGGCCCGUCUCCCUUAGGUUUGCACCCCUGCCCCUGGCUUGGGCCUUCCCUCGGGGGGGGGGGGGCGGGAAGAACACACUGCUCUCUGACUCAGGCUUCUGCCUCUGGAUUCGACCUGCUCCUACGAUGGUCUUCACCCUUCUAGAGCUCUCCAGGCUCCUCCUCGGGAAGUCCCACGGACUCCAUCAAAUCCCGUGAGAGCUCGGGUUAGAGGUGCAGGGGUAGGCGCUAGAGGCAGCUCUGCGCCUGAGUCCUGGUGCUGGCUGUGUGACCUCGUGCGUCGUCACCCGGGUUCUCCCUCUGGACAUGGAGCGGUAGCCUUGCUCAUGGGGGAACCUGAGAAAGAUGAUGUCUGUAAAGCGCCUGGUGUUGAGUAGCGCCCCUUUCUUUCUUUGUUUGAGGCCCGGUCCCUGGCUUCUAGACCACCUUUGCACCAAGCCAGCACCGGACUGCCCCCCGUCAGUGGUCGUGUGGCCUCGAAGGCUGGCACCUUCUCCUAGGGACCCUACCACCGCGGGCUGCCGGUCCCUCCUUAUGCAGCCAGCUGCCCUCCAACUGUGGUCCUGUUUCUAGUCUCCAGGACAGUCGCGGAACUCAGCUCAUUUACAGGUCACUGAUGUCUGACACAACUCGCACUCGGGAAACAAGGCGGC
This is a long non-coding RNA of Acinonyx jubatus (cheetah), 14431 nucleotides long. RefSeq lists it as uncharacterized. The transcript has 4 exons. Lineage: Eukaryota; Metazoa; Chordata; Mammalia; Carnivora; Felidae. The record is from RefSeq and is a predicted model, not a curated record.